RNAcentral lists this ribosomal RNA (245 nucleotides) under uncultured Oscillospiraceae bacterium. RNAcentral's name for it is "partial 16S ribosomal RNA". It matches the Rfam family "Bacterial small subunit ribosomal RNA", at positions 524 to 768 of the family's 1533-position model. Lineage: Bacteria; Bacillati; Bacillota; Clostridia; Eubacteriales; Oscillospiraceae. The record is from RNAcentral.
UACGUAGGGAGCAAGCGUUGUCCGGAUUUACUGGGUGUAAAGGGUGCGUAGGCGGCUUGGUAAGUCAGAUGUGAAAUCUAUGGGCUCAACCCAUAAACUGCAUUUGAAACUAUCAAACUUGAGUGAAGUAGAGGCAAGCGGAAUUCCCUGUGUAGCGGUGAAAUGCGUAGAGAUAGGGAGGAACACCAGUGGCGAAGGCGGCUUGCUGGGCUUUAACUGACGCUGAGGCACGAAAGCGUGGGUAG